AACGCACCUUGCGCACCUUGGUAUUCCGAGGAGCAUGCCUGUUUGAGUGUCUUGAAGUCAUCAACUCCUCCCUCUUUUUCCGAAAAGGGCUCGGAGUUGGAUGUUGGGGGUCUGCGGCCCACCGGCCGCUCCCUUCAAACGCAAUUGGGUUUUGGGCCUGCGGGGUCGAACUCUCGACUGGGUGUUGUACGAUCCUCACUCUGGUCGCGGUGUUUUCCCGCCUCGAGCGCCCUGCCCGGGACCCCGCCCCCCUGGAGCGGCGGUCAAGCUCCAACUUCUUUGAAAUCUGACCUCAAAUCAGGUAGGACUACCCGCUGAACUUAA
RNAcentral lists this unclassified non-coding RNA (324 nucleotides) under uncultured fungus. RNAcentral's name for it is "sequence contains ITS2". The record is from RNAcentral. Lineage: Eukaryota; Fungi.